CAUUAACGAGUAUCGAAAGGGACUGUAGCUGGCCCCCCGGGGCAUGUGCACGUCCCGCUCAUCCACUCUACACCUGUGAACCACCUGUAGGCCAGUCUUCGGCUCGGGGCUUGUCUCCGAUGUCCGGGUUGACCUAUGUCUCAUUACAAACGCUUUGGUAUCAGAAUGUACGUCGCGAUAAUACGCAUCUUAAUACAACUUUCAGCAACGGAUCUCUUGGCUCUCGCAUCGAUGAAGAACGCAGCGAAAUGCGAUAAGUAAUGUGAAUUGCAGAAUUCAGUGAAUCAUCGAAUCUUUGAACGCACCUUGCGCUCCUGGGUAUUCCCAGGAGCNAUACCUGUUUGAGUGUCAUGGAAUUCUCAAUCCCCUCUCCCUUGCGGUUGUGGGGUUUGGACUUGGAGGUCUUUGCCGGUGCUUAUGCACGGGCUCCUCUGGAAUGCAUUAGCUCGAUUCCGUGCGGAUCGGCUCCCGGCGUGAUAAUUGUCUACGUCGUGACCGUGAAGCGUUUGGCGGGCUUCGAACCGUCCCCCCGAGGGACAAUCGAUCUUGACAUCUGGCCUCAAAUCAGGUAGGACUACCCGCUGAACUUAAGCAUAUCAAUAAGCGGAGGAAAAGAAACUAACAAGGAUUCCCCUAGUAACUGCGAGUGAAGCGGGAAGAGCUCAAAUUUAAAAUCUGGCGGUCUUUGGCCGUCCGAGUUGUAGUCUGGAGAAGUGCUUUCCGCGCCGGACCGUGUACAAGUCUCUUGGAACAGAGCGUCGUAGAGGGUGAGAAUCCCGUCUUUGACACGGACUGCCGGUGCUUUGUGAUGCGCUCUCGAAGAGUCGAGUUGUUUGGGAAUGCAGCUCAAAAUGGGUGGUGAAUUCCAUCUAAAGCUAAAUAUUGGCGAGAGACCGAUAGCGAACAAGUACCGUGAGGGAAAGAUGAAAAGCACUUUGGAAAGAGAGUUAAACAGUACGUGAAAUUGCUGAAAGGGAAACGCUUGAAGUCAGUCGCGUCGUCCGGGACUCAGCCUUGCUUUUGCUUGGUGCACUUUCCGGUCGACGGGCCAGCAUCGAUUUUGGUCGCCGGAGAAUGGCUUGGGGA
This 1086-nucleotide ribosomal RNA is filed under the name Agaricomycetes sp. genotype e50ss041. RNAcentral's name for it is "eukaryotic LSU rRNA". The stretch from base 555 to 1086 matches the Rfam family "Eukaryotic large subunit ribosomal RNA", at positions 1 to 533 of the family's 3401-position model. Lineage: Eukaryota; Fungi; Basidiomycota; Agaricomycetes. The record is from RNAcentral.